This 223-nucleotide ribosomal RNA is filed under the name uncultured bacterium. RNAcentral's name for it is "partial 16S ribosomal RNA". It matches the Rfam family "Bacterial small subunit ribosomal RNA", at positions 118 to 339 of the family's 1533-position model. The record is from RNAcentral.
UGGGUAACCUGCCUCAAAGAGGGGAAUAGCCUCCCGAAAGGGAGAUUAAUACCGCAUAAUAUGUUUUGGUCGCAUGAUCGAAACAUCAAAGGAGUAAUCCGCUUUGUGAUGGACCCGCGGCGCAUUAGCUAGUUGGUGAGGUAACGGCUCACCAAGGCGACGAUGCGUAGCCGACCUGAGAGGGUGAUCGGCCANAUUGGAACUGAGACACGGUCCAGACUCC